CACCUAAACUCUUUGGUUUUCUUAAUCACACGAUAUUAACUUGGUCAUCAAAAAAAAAAACAGAGUUCCUUGCGAUUACGGCAACAAGAACAUGAACGUGAGAGUAGAAGAAGCAAGCAAGAAACCAAACU
This 131-nucleotide small RNA is filed under the name Arabidopsis thaliana (thale cress). RNAcentral describes it as "ATSL174920". Lineage: Eukaryota; Viridiplantae; Streptophyta; Magnoliopsida; Brassicales; Brassicaceae. The record is from RNAcentral.